This 388-nucleotide long non-coding RNA is filed under the name Durio zibethinus. RNAcentral describes it as "long non-coding RNA (DZIB_LNC000607)". The record is from RNAcentral. Lineage: Eukaryota; Viridiplantae; Streptophyta; Magnoliopsida; Malvales; Malvaceae.
ACAAGUUGUUCUAAUCAGUGCUGUAAUCAGAACAUCCCCUAUUGUGAGUGAAAACUAUCAAUGCAGAUACAGAUUUCUUUCUUCAAUAAGUUAAACAGACAUUGCUAUGGUUUUGAAAAGCCAUGAGUCCACAACUGGUUGUCUCUUCAGUUGAUGAGUCAACAACUGGUUGUCUCUUUGUUCAAACUCUCUUUAGUUGAACUAGUUGCAAUAAGAGUAAAGUUUGGUGAGUUAAUUUUCCCUUCUCUCCCUCCCGUUUACUUAAAGAAACGGUUUGAAUUGCCCUCUCAUAAACACUCUUUUUCGCACGCCACAAAAAAUAUUCAAGCCACGGUUUCCACGUGAAACUUGAGUUGCUUGUUCCAUGUGUUUACUCAAGUAGACAAAU